GCGGAUGUAGCCAAAUGGAUCAAGGCAGUUGAUUGUGAAUCCACCGCGGAUCAAGGCAGUUGAUUGUGAAUCCAUCGCGCGCGGGUUCAAUUCCCGUCGGUCGCC
This 105-nucleotide transfer RNA is filed under the name Punica granatum (pomegranate). It matches the Rfam family "tRNA". Rfam says of the family: Transfer RNA (tRNA) molecules are approximately 80 nucleotides in length. Lineage: Eukaryota; Viridiplantae; Streptophyta; Magnoliopsida; Myrtales; Lythraceae. The record is from Rfam by way of RNAcentral.